Long non-coding RNA from Motacilla alba alba, 544 nucleotides. RefSeq lists it as uncharacterized. The record is from RefSeq and is a predicted model, not a curated record. The transcript is spliced from 3 exons. NCBI's taxonomy places the organism in Eukaryota, Metazoa, Chordata, Aves, Passeriformes, Motacillidae.
CAUACCGCGUUUGUUCCCAGCACCAGGAGCGAGUGCUUUGACACCCAGCCAGGCCCUCUCCAGCCAGGGCAGGAGCAGGCCCCAUCGCUCAGCCUGAAUGGCCUUCGCUCUCUAUGGCUCAGUAAUAAUCAGAGGUCACACUGAAAAGCCAUCUUCUCCUUCUCUGGCAGAACCACAGCACUUGAGGAAGAGGAGCUAAAAAGUCUCUGAAGGGUGUUGAAGCUCCAAGCUUGGCUGAAGCAGAGACUCUCUUGUCACCAGACUGUUUCCUUGUUUCCAGAGGAAACCAGCAAGCUCAGGCUGGGACUGACAGGAAUGCCGUGCUGCUUACCUUUUCAUGUCUGAAACCCAGGAAUGUAUCAGGGGAGCAGCUCCUCUUGGCAGGGACUCCAGUCACAAGGCCCUGCUAGACACAGUCUACUUUUGCAGAGUCAGUCUCCCUGCCUGCAACCAGGCACUGGGUUCAGCUGCCCAGCAGAGCGUCAGCCACAGAGGGCAAGCAGGACACGCAUGGGAAGAGCAGUGCCACAACAGAAUGUGCAAG